Molecule: long non-coding RNA, 227 nt
Filed under: Hordeum vulgare
Lineage: Eukaryota; Viridiplantae; Streptophyta; Magnoliopsida; Poales; Poaceae
Description: long non-coding RNA (HVUL_LNC015313)
Source: RNAcentral
GCCAACACCGAGUCCUCCGACUGUGAGCGCCUCCAUCUCCGCUUCCGAUCCCGAGAUUUUCUUUUUUUUGGGUUGAUCUCUCGUGUGUGUGUGUGUGUGUGUGUGUGUGUGUGUGUGUGUCGGUGGGCGUGAUUAAUGAUGCCUCGGGUCCUCGCAGCCGCCGCUCUGGGGAAUCUCUACACCUCCUGGAACAGCCCGCCGCAGCUGGCCGGCUGGUCGGCCAGCGG